AUAAAAUUAAUCUACUCUAAGAUCUUGACAUAAUAUGUUGUAUUUAAAAUCUAAAAAUCAACAAGGAUAAAAUCUGCAUGCAUGGAUGUAAGCAGUAGAUCAUAUCUACUUCUAAUCUGAGUUCAGAACUCGAUACCUGAGUGCGGAUCGAUGAUCGUCGCUACUGAGAUAUAUGGUAAGGAUGAUCUUUUCUGAUUGCUCGUAGCCGCAUACACG
RNAcentral lists this long non-coding RNA (216 nucleotides) under Elaeis guineensis (African oil palm). RNAcentral describes it as "long non-coding RNA (EGUI_LNC068519)". The record is from RNAcentral. Lineage: Eukaryota; Viridiplantae; Streptophyta; Magnoliopsida; Arecales; Arecaceae.